GCCGAGAUGGCCCAACCUGGUACGGCGCAGAUUUAAUAUUUUUAUAUGUUAGCCUGUUUCCUUACGGAUUUCCGGGUUCAAAUCCCGGUCUCGGCG
This 96-nucleotide transfer RNA is filed under the name Candidatus Woesearchaeota archaeon. RNAcentral's name for it is "tRNA-OTHER". It matches the Rfam family "tRNA". Rfam says of the family: Transfer RNA (tRNA) molecules are approximately 80 nucleotides in length. Their secondary structure includes four short double-helical elements and three loops (D, anti-codon, and T loops). Further hydrogen bonds mediate the characteristic L-shaped molecular structure. tRNAs have two regions of fundamental functional importance: the anti-codon, which is responsible for specific mRNA codon recognition, and the 3' end, to which the tRNAs corresponding amino acid is attached (by aminoacyl-tRNA synthetases). tRNAs cope with the degeneracy of the genetic code in two manners: having more than one tRNA (with a specific anti-codon) for a particular amino acid; and 'wobble' base-pairing, i.e. permitting non-standard base-pairing at the 3rd anti-codon position. The record is from RNAcentral. Lineage: Archaea; Nanobdellati; Candidatus Woesearchaeota.